GCCUACGGGGGGCAGCAGUAGGGAAUUUUCGUCAAUGGGCGCAAGCCUGAACGAGCAAUGCCGCGUGAACGAGGAAGGUCUUCGGAUCGUAAAGUUCUGUUGCAGGGGAAAAAGAGCGGAGAGAGGAAAUGGUCUCCGAUUGAUAUUACCCUUCGAGGAAGUCACGGCUAACUACGUGCCAGCAGCCGCGGUAAUACGUAGGUGGCGAGCGUUAUCCGGAAUGAUUGGGCGCAAAGGGUGCGUAGGCGGCCUGCUAAGUCUGGAGUGAAAGGUACCGGCUCAACCGGUACAGGCUCUGGAAACUG
Molecule: ribosomal RNA, 305 nt
Filed under: uncultured bacterium
Lineage: Bacteria
Description: bacterial SSU rRNA
Rfam family: Bacterial small subunit ribosomal RNA
Source: RNAcentral